GAGUUUAAUCAUGGCUCAGAUUGAACGCUGGCGGCAUGCCUUACACAUGCAAGUCGAACGGCAGCACGGGAGCUUGCUCCUGGUGGGCGAGUGGCGAACGGGUGAGUAAUGCAUCGGAACGUAUCCUGGAGUGGGGGAUAACGUAGCGAAAGUUACGCUAAUACCGCAUAUUCUGUGAGCAGGAAAGCGGGGGACCUUCGGGCCUCGCGCUCUUGGAGCGGCCGAUGUCGAAUUAGCUAGUUGGUGAGGUAAAGGCUCACCAAGGCGACGAUCCGUAGCAGGUCUGAGAGGAUGAUCUGCCACACUGGAACUGAGACACGGUCCAGACUCCUACGGGAGGCAGCAGUGGGAAUUUUGGACAAUGGGGGCAACCCUGAUCCAGCCAUGCCGCGUGAGUGAAGAAGGCC
Molecule: ribosomal RNA, 407 nt
Filed under: bacterium enrichment culture clone ALO1_GLFRUDD03FRW13
Lineage: Bacteria
Description: bacterial SSU rRNA
Rfam family: Bacterial small subunit ribosomal RNA
Source: RNAcentral